Molecule: RNA transcript, 2796 nt
Organism: Neopelma chrysocephalum (saffron-crested tyrant-manakin)
Lineage: Eukaryota; Metazoa; Chordata; Aves; Passeriformes; Pipridae
Gene: EFCAB7
Gene name: EF-hand calcium binding domain 7
Exons: 17
Source: RefSeq, a predicted model, not a curated record
CGGGCCGGAGCAGGGCGGGGGAGCCCCUCAGGGCUGCGGGGCCCAGACCGGGGCCGGGUUGGACUCGUCGGGCCCCGCCGUGCGCGGUGGGCGAGGCCGGAGCAGGGCGAAGCUUCCCUGUGCAGCUGUGCGUGCUCUAUGGAUGAGCCUCGGUCCUGAAGGAUGGCCAGCAGUCCCAGGAAUAACGCUUCCCUCUCCGUUCAGAAAGGCACACACGUGGAAAAUUCCCAAGGGAAGAAGUUGCAGUAUACAGAAGAAGCAAACUUCUACAUGAACUGCAGAGCAGCUUAUCUGACUGUUCUGAAAAGCAGCUUAGAAAAUAUCAAAUCCAGAGAACAGCUCAGCCUAGUACUUCAACAGGCUGGAAGAAAUCCAUCUCAGAAGACCAUUAAUAAAUACUGGACUUCACAAACAACUGCACUGAAUUUUGAUGAUUUUUGUGCUAUUUUAAAACAAGAAAAGCCAGUUACAAAAACUGAGCUGCUCGAAGCAUUUGGAAAAAUAGACACAGAUAAAACUGGAUAUAUUUUACAUGAUGAACUCUAUAAAAUCCUUACAACAAGAGGUGAUAAAAUGACUUGGGAUGAAGUGAACGCAAUUACUAAACAGGCUGAUUUUAACUGCAGUGGCAAACUUGAUUACAGCAAGUUUUGUGAGUUGUACCUGACCACCAGGGAGCAGAGCUGCAGGACUGCCCGGGAGAGGCUGGAAGUUGACAGUAGGUUGAGGCAGCAGCAGUUUGGGAAUCAAGCUGAAACUUCCUCUGAAGGGAUCCCGCUGCCAGUGCCAAAACCAUCGCCCAGAAUCUCCAAGAAAACCGAUCACAAACUACCAAAAGGUGACAGCAGAGCUCCUUCAAGACCCUCAUCAGCCCAAAGUGGCAAAGCUUCCACUGUCAGUGUGGGUUCCAGCAGCAACAGGAGCACAAAGCUAAUUGAGCCCGACACAAUGAAGGAAUGGCAAUGGGCACAAUCCAAAGGCUGCUUCUACUUGGAAGAAGAUAGUGAAAUCAUCAGUCACAAGUACAGGGUGCACUUCCCUCAGAGGUCCUCAGUUUGUGUCACCAUCAAGCCUUUAAAUGUUCCCCAGGUAGAAGGAAGAUCUUGUCACUGGUUGUCAGUGGAUACAGCUUUGUUUAUUCUGAAGGAGAACGAAACCCAAGAGAAUCUACAGCUUGUGAGCUUUACUGAAGUACAGAACAAAGAGAUGUUUGGCUGGAAAGGGGAGCUUGGAUCUGGGAAUUACUGGCUGCUCCCGUUCACAACAGGCUGCAGGCUGAGGAAGGGGAAAACACAAGUGACUGGAGAAGCAAAAUUGGUGUAUAGGGAUGAAGAUGGAGAACUGGCCCUCACCAAAGGCUUCAGAGCUGCUUUAUUGGAUAUAUUUGAAACAAUAGAUUUGGAUGGGAAUGGCCUCCUGAGUCUGGAGGAAUACAACUUCUUUGAACUGAGAACUAGUGGAGAGAAGUGUGAUGAGGAAGCAUGGGCUGUGUGUAAAGAGAAUUUUGAGAUGAAGAAGAAUGAACUCACGAGACAAGGAUUCCUGGAUUUGAAUCUCAUGGAAGCCACGGACCGGGAAGGGGAUCCCAGUGACCUCUGGGUCACUCUGUUGUCCCUGGGCUACAACAAGGCCUUAGAAAUGACAGAGGCCUGUCCCUUUGUCAUUGACAUCUAUGCAGAGAGAUGCAAACCCAGAAUUAAAGCCAUGUAUCUGGAGGCAGGGGGCUCCCAGCUCAGCAGGGCUGUUUGCAGGGCUGUGGUGAAUAAAGGAGAGCCCAAAGUACUGGAUGGCUCUGAGAACAUCGUGGUCCACACCUACAAAUCAGGCAGGAGAAUCACUUCUGUUAUUGAAAAUAAGUCUGAAAGCAAAGUGAUUAUUCAUGUCAACAAUGAGCAGAGUAAGAACUGCCUAAAUAACAGGGGACUGACAGUUUUUGCUGUAGAAGUGGCACCAAAAUCCAUGAUGGUCUGUCAGCACGUGGUGCCCCUGAACGAGCAGGAGGAGUGGAUUUAUAACUGUGUGCACUCCCUUGGUAGCUGAAAUAAGGAGGCUGAAGUGCACCAAGUUUAGGCUGCAACAGCAAAGAAAACCACAUUUUAGGAAGGGAAUGGUUAAGGCUGAAGGAAGAGCUUAGUGGAGAAAUCACUGCACAGGAAAGACUUGGUUUUGCUGCAGGUAAAAAACAUGGCACAGCAACAGGGGAACCUCAUUUAUGUUCUGAUCCUCUUGCUGCUAGGAAGGGUUUAAUUACCCAGAUUUUAAAGUGGGAACAUGGGCAAGCUCUCCAUGGCAGGCUCUGCCUUUCCUGCCCUGGAGGAGGUGAGAAUAGAGAUCUCAGAAUCUGCAGAUUCUUUUCCAGUUUGCUUCAAGUCCAGGUGCCACCAAGACAGAAAAACAUUUCAGCUUCUCUUUUCAAGGCUGAACAUAGGUACCAGCUUAUUUUCUUCAAGGGGAGACAUUUGAGAGAAAAAGUGUCUGUAACACCUGUAAUUUUAAUUUCUGGAAUUACCUUACUUUUGAGAACUGGUGGUAUAAUAACAAAGUUCAGCUGCUUCGUGGGUUUGCCAGCACUGACCUUCCCUGACCAACCUUCUGGGGGUAUUUGGGGAGGUCCUGGUUGUGUGGGGUGGUCAGUUGAGUCCAGGGCCUGCUUGUAGGGCCUGUGGUGACAUCCUGCUGGUAGCUGUAGGGACAUGGAGAGUCUGGAGCCCCAGGAGCAGCUGAGGGAGCUGGGUGGGGCUCAGCCUGGAGAAAAGGAGGCUCAAGGGGGACCUUCUCACUCUCUGCAACCUGACA